This is a long non-coding RNA of Cercocebus atys (sooty mangabey), 2308 nucleotides long. RefSeq lists it as uncharacterized. The record is from RefSeq and is a predicted model, not a curated record. The transcript is spliced from 18 exons. NCBI's taxonomy places the organism in Eukaryota, Metazoa, Chordata, Mammalia, Primates, Cercopithecidae.
ACUCCAGCCUGGGCGACAGAGCGAGACUCCAUCUCAAAAAUCAAGAAGAAUUGGAGGAGGAAAUAAAUAGAUAAAUGGCAAAGGUGACGAAGGACCAAAGAUCUGUGACUUGUGGAAAGAUGGCUCUGUGUUUGCUGCAGGUCUAGAAGAUGUUACAGAAUUUCAAGCGAGAGAGAGGAGGGCUGGCAUGAGGUCCUCCACUUCAGAAAAUAGGGAGGCAAUUGCUGUGGGAGAUGUGGUGUAACUGCUGGAAGGAAGACACUCCAUUCCUCUGAGCAACGAAGGCCACAUGGAGUCCUGGAUUUUAUGUGGCCUGGCAUCCACGGUGCACCACGUGCUGGCAGGUGACUCAGGACGGGGCAGUUGCCAUGGGAGGCCCGCCGCCUGCUGAAAGGAAGAUGGUCAAUUCUUUUGAGCCACAAAGGCCCUGCAGAGUCCUGGAGUCAGUGUGGCCUGGCUUCCUGGGUGCACCUUGUGCUGGUGGAUUGCUCAGGAUGGGACAGUUGCCAUGGGAGGUCCGCUGCCUGCUGUCAGGGAAGAUGGUCGAUGCUUCUGAGCAACAUAGGCCCACGUGGAUUCCGUGUGGCCUGGCAUCCACUGUGCACCCCACGCUGGCAGGUGGCUCAGGACGGAGCAGUUGCCUUGAGAUGCCCACUGCCUGCUGGCACAGCAGAUGGUCAAUUCUUCUGAGCAAUGGAGUCCCCACUGAGUCAUGGAGUCGGUGUGGCCUGGCAUCCACGGUGCACCCCGUGCUGGUGGAUGGCUCAGGACGCAGCAGUUUGUCAUGAGAGGUCUACCACUUGCCGGCAAAGAAGAUGGUCAAUUCUUCUGACCAACGGAGGCUGCCUUGAGUCCUUGAUUUGGUGUGGCCUGGCAUCUAUGGUGCACCCCAUGCUGGGGCAGUUGCCGUGGAAGGCCCGCAGCCUGCUGCAAGGAAGAUGGGUGAUGCUUACGAGCAACAAAGGCUCCACGGAGUCGUGAAGUCGGUGUGGCCUGGCAUCCACGGUGCACCCCGUGCUGGUGGAUGGCUCAGGACGGUGCAGUUUUCAUGGGAGGCGUGGCACCUGCUGGAAGGAAGAUAGUUGAUUUUCCUGAGUAAUGAAGGCCACGCAGAGUCCUGGUUUCGGUUAUCCACAGUGCACCCCGUGCUCGUGGGUGGCUCAGGACGCCAGAUUCUGGUCACAAAUAUGUGAAGCCGUAGACUAGCGGAUUUCAUAAGUACCACAGGAGUCUAGAUGACAUGGCCUUCCUGACCUGUGAACCUGUCUUUCUGAAGCACAUUCAUUUCUUCUGCACCUUCCCAGUGUCAUUGGCAUGGAAGGAAGGCCCUUGUCCAAGAAAGAUUGUCUUCGUCUUGUGUGAUCUUUGAGAUGCCAUGAGGACCCUGGAUACACAUGGUGUGGGUUCCUUUGGAGGCUUUUGGAUUUCUCCUGAAUGUGGCGUUGGUAUGAAAGGAAGGCCAGUGACCACAAGGGACGAUCUUGAUCUUGGGAGAUUUUUGGAGAUGGUGAAGUGCCUGUAAACAUGUGUGUCAUGGUCUCCUUCAGGCUGGUGGACACCUCAGGACGGUGGUGUUGGCAUGGAAGGAGGGCCUGUGUCUGCGAGGGAUGAUCAUCCUCUCAUGUGAUCCUUGGAGAUGCCAGGAAGCCCCUUGACACAUGUGGCAUGGACUCCUUCAGAGGCUUUUGGAUCCUUCGUGAAUGUGGCAUGGGCAUGCAAAGACAGACAGAGGCUGCAGGGAUGAACUUCAUCUUGGGAGGUCUCUGGAGAUGGCAGGGAACCCCUGGACACAUGUGGCAUGGGCUCCUUCGGGUGCUGGUGGAUCCCUUUAUGUGGUGGCCGUGAUGAAUUGGCCAGGCCCAUGUUGGUGAGGGACAAUCAUCAUCUCGUGCUAUUCUCAGAGAUGCCAGGAAGCUCCUGGACACACAUGGUGUAGGCUUCUUUGGAGGCUGUUGGAUCCCCCCUGAAUGUGGUGUGGGCAUGGAAGGAAGGCCAGUGGAGAUAAUGGAUGAUCUUGCUCUUAGAAGAUCACUGGAGGUGGCAGGGAGUCCUAGGACACAUGUGGCGUGGGCCCCUUCAGGUGCUGGUGGUGUUGGCAUGAAAGGAAAGGAGGUAUCUUCGAGGGACAAUCUUCGCCUUGUGCGAUCCUCGGAGAUGCCACGAGGGCUCUGGACACAUGUGGUGCGGGCUCCUUUGGAGGCUGUUGAAUCCCUUCUGAAUGUGGCGUUGGCAUAAAAGGCAGGCUUGUAUCAUGGGGAAUGUUGUCAUCUCGUAUGAUCCUUGGAAUGGCAGGAAGCCCCUGGACACA